AGGACGAACGCUGGCGGCGUGCUUAACACAUGCAAGUCGAACGGAAAGGCCCGCUUGCGGGUACUCGAGUGGCGAACGGGUGAGUAACACGUGGGCAACCUGCCCUCAGCUUCGGGAUAACACUUGGAAACAGGUGCUAAUACCGGAUAACAACUUUUCAUCGCAUGGUGGAUGGUUCAAAGUUUUUCGGCUGAGGAUGGGCCCGCGGCCUAUCAGCUUGUUGGUGGGGUGAUGGCCUACCAAGGCGACGACGGGUA
This 257-nucleotide ribosomal RNA is filed under the name uncultured bacterium. Its description in RNAcentral is "partial small subunit ribosomal RNA". It matches the Rfam family "Bacterial small subunit ribosomal RNA", at positions 26 to 285 of the family's 1533-position model. The record is from RNAcentral.